GAUGAACGCUGGCGGCGUGCCUAAUACAUGCAAGUCGAGCGAACGGACGAGAAGCUUGCUUUUCUGAUGUUAGCGGCGGACGGGUGAGUAACACGUGGAUAACCUACCUAUAAGACUGGGAUAACUUCGGGAAACCGGAGCUAAUACCGGAUAAUAUUUUGAACCGCAUGGUUCAAAAGUGAAAGACGGUCUUGCUGUCACUUAUAGAUGGAUCCGCGCUGCAUUAGCUAGUUGGUAAGGUAACGGCUUACCAAGGCAACGAUGCAUAGCCGACCUGAGAGGGUGAUCGGCCACACUGGAACUGAGACACGGUUCAGACUCCUACGGGAGGCAGCAGUAGGGAAUCUUCCGCAAUGGGCGAAAGCCUGACGGAGCAACGCCGCGUGAGUGAUGAAGGUCUUCGGAUCGUAAAACUCUGUUAUUAGGGAAGAACAUAUGUGUAAGUAACUGUGCACAUCUUGACGGUACCUAAUCAGAAAGCCACGGCUAACUACGU
Molecule: ribosomal RNA, 496 nt
Filed under: uncultured bacterium
Lineage: Bacteria
Description: partial 16S ribosomal RNA
Rfam family: Bacterial small subunit ribosomal RNA
Source: RNAcentral